UACGUAGGGACCAAGCGUUGUUCGGAUUUACUGGGCGUAAAGGGCGCGUAGGCGGCCUUCUAAGUCAGACGUGAAAUCCCUCGGCUCAACCGAGGAACUGCGUCUGAUACUGGAAGGCUUGAAUCCGGGAGAGGGAUGUGGAAUUCCAGGUGUAGCGGUGAAAUGCGUAGAUAUCUGGAGGAACACCGGUGGCGAAGGCGGCAUCCUGGACCGGUAUUGACGCUGAGGCGCGAAAGCUAGGGGGGCAAACGGG
This 253-nucleotide ribosomal RNA is filed under the name uncultured bacterium. RNAcentral's name for it is "partial 16S ribosomal RNA". It matches the Rfam family "Bacterial small subunit ribosomal RNA", at positions 524 to 776 of the family's 1533-position model. The record is from RNAcentral.